GUGGCUUGAAGCGUUCCGCUGAAGUUGGUGACUUUGAGGACCAAGGUGCCACCAUUCACCAAUCAGAAAUAAGAUUUCUCCUAGACCCUUCCUCCAUUGCGACGUGAAACCAAGAGGGGCGCUGUUGCGGGCGGCGGCGAGUUGGGACCUGCGGCCUUCGCUGCUUACUGACCUUGGGAGUGAAGGAACGACAAGACGAUGUCCGGU
Molecule: long non-coding RNA, 207 nt
Organism: Hypanus sabinus (Atlantic stingray)
Lineage: Eukaryota; Metazoa; Chordata; Chondrichthyes; Myliobatiformes; Dasyatidae
Exons: 3
Source: RefSeq, a predicted model, not a curated record